This 71-nucleotide transfer RNA is filed under the name Xanthomonas sp. 60. RNAcentral describes it as "tRNA-Thr". The record is from RNAcentral. Lineage: Bacteria; Pseudomonadati; Pseudomonadota; Gammaproteobacteria; Lysobacterales; Lysobacteraceae.
UUGAAAUAUAGGCAUAGUUUAACUAUCUUGUAAACAGUAGGUCAUCCGUUCGAUUCGGAUAAGCGGCACCA